UGAUGUGAGAGAGAUCUGGCUACUAUGUCUGCCACCCCUCUGGUCACCGAAGUUGAUGCAGCUGAUUUGGCUGACUGGGAGAGUGUCUGCUUCCUCCCUCACCACUCAGCAAGAAUCAUUCUUGAAGUUUUCCACUCAAGAGGACAACAACCUUCUCCAACUAAAGGAGAACAGUAUCCAGUCCAGGGGAUCUGAGUAGUUUCAUUCCCCUGCUAGAACCUCCAAAUAAGCUCUCAAAAUCCUAAAAACAAAGAAAUCUGGUUCAGACCAUUCAGGUUAAGAGGUAUUCAGCUCGGCCUCUGUUU
Molecule: small nuclear RNA, 305 nt
Filed under: Meriones unguiculatus (Mongolian gerbil)
Lineage: Eukaryota; Metazoa; Chordata; Mammalia; Rodentia; Muridae
Description: 7SK RNA (ENSMUGG00000000357.1)
Rfam family: 7SK RNA
About the family: 7SK was discovered as an abundant small nuclear RNA in the mid-70s but a possible function has only recently been suggested. Two independent studies have found that 7SK RNA binds the CDK9/cyclin T complex (known as elongation factor P-TEFb).
Source: RNAcentral